GGGGAUUUAGCUCAGUGGUAGAGCGCUUGCCUAGCAAGCACAAGGCCCUGGGUUCGGUCCCAGCUCCG
Rattus norvegicus (Norway rat) is the source of this 68-nucleotide non-coding RNA. Lineage: Eukaryota; Metazoa; Chordata; Mammalia; Rodentia; Muridae. The record is from Rfam.